ACGGGGGGGGCAAGCGUUGUUCGGAAUUACUGGGCGUAAAGCGCACGUAGGUGGUCUGUUAUGUCAGAUGUGAAAGCCCUCGGCUUAACUGAGGAAGUGCACCUGAAACUGGCAGGCUUGAGUACGAAAGAGGGUCGCGGAAUUCCCGGUGUAGAGGUGAAAUUCGUAGAUAUCGGGAGGAACACCGGUGGCGAAGGCGGCGACCUGGUUCGAUACUGACACUGAGGUGCGAAAGCGUGGGGAGCAAACAGGA
Molecule: ribosomal RNA, 253 nt
Filed under: uncultured prokaryote
Description: partial 16S ribosomal RNA
Rfam family: Bacterial small subunit ribosomal RNA
Source: RNAcentral